AGAGUUUGAUCCUGGCUCAGAUUAAACGCUAGCGGGAUGCUUUACACAUGCAAGUCGAACGGCAGCACGAGAGAGCUUGCUCUCUUGGUGGCGAGUGGCGGACGGGUGAGUAAUAUAUCGGAACGUGCCCAGUAGCGGGGGAUAACUACUCGAAAGAGUGGCUAAUACCGCAUACGCCCUACGGGGGAAAGGGGGGGAUCGCAAGACCUCUCACUAUUGGAGCGGCCGAUAUCGGAUUAGCUAGUUGGUGGGGUAAAGGCUCACCAAGGCAACGAUCCGUAGCCGGUUUGAGAGGACGACCAGCCACACUGGGACUGAGACACGGCCCAGACUCCUACGGGAGGCAGCAGUGGGGAAUUUUGGACAAUGGGGGAAACCCUGAUCCAGCCAUCCCGCGUGUAUGAUGAAGGCCUUCGGGUUGUAAAGUACUUUUGGCAGAGAAGAAAAGGCAUCCCCUAAUACGGGAUGCUGCUGACGGUAUCUGCAGAAUAAGCACCGGCUAACUACGUGCCAGCAGCCGCGGUAAUACGUAGGGUGCAAGCGUUAAUCGGAAUUACUGGGCGUAAAGCGUGUGUAGGCGGUUCGGAAAGAAAGGUGUGAAAUCCCAGGGCUCAACCUUGGAACUGCAUUUUUAACUGCCGAGCUAGAGUAUGUCAGAGGGGGGUAGAAUUCCACGUGUAGCAGUGAAAUGCGUAGAUAUGUGGAGGAAUACCGAUGGCGAAGGCAGCCCCCUGGGAUAAUACUGACGCUCAGACACGAAAGCGUGGGGAGCAAACAGGAUUAGAUACCCUGGUAGUCCACGCCCUAAACGAUGUCAACUAGCUGUUGGGGCCGUUAGGCCUUAGUAGCGCAGCUAACGCGUGAAGUUGACCGCCUGGGGAGUACGGUCGCAAGAUUAAAACUCAAAGGAAUUGACGGGGACCCGCACAAGCGGUGGAUGAUGUGGAUUAAUUCGAUGCAACGCGAAAAACCUUACCUACCCUUGACAUGUCUGGAAAGCCGAAGAGAUUUGGCCGUGCUCGCAAGAGAACCGGAACACAGGUGCUGCAUGGCUGUCGUCAGCUCGUGUCGUGAGAUGUUGGGUUAAGUCCCGCAACGAGCGCAACCCUUGUCAUUAGUUGCUACGCAAGAGCACUCUAAUGAGACUGCCGGUGACAAACCGGAGGAAGGUGGGGAUGACGUCAAGUCCUCAUGGCCCUUAUGGGUAGGGCUUCACACGUCAUACAAUGGUCGGGACAGAGGGUCGCCAACCCGCGAGGGGGAGCCAAUCUCAGAAACCCGAUCGUAGUCCGGAUCGCAGUCUGCAACUCGACUGCGUGAAGUCGGAAUCGCUAGUAAUCGCGGAUCAGAAUGUCGCGGUGAAUACGUUCCCGGGUCUUGUACACACCGCCCGUCACACCAUGGGAGUGGGUUUCACCAGAAGUAGGUAGCCUAACCGCAAGGAGGGCGCUUACCACGGUGGGAUUCAUGACUGGGGUGAAGUCGUAACAAGGUAACCGU
Molecule: ribosomal RNA, 1500 nt
Filed under: Alcaligenes faecalis
Lineage: Bacteria; Pseudomonadati; Pseudomonadota; Betaproteobacteria; Burkholderiales; Alcaligenaceae
Description: bacterial SSU rRNA
Rfam family: Bacterial small subunit ribosomal RNA
Source: RNAcentral